This 429-nucleotide long non-coding RNA is filed under the name Malus domestica (apple). Its description in RNAcentral is "long non-coding RNA (MDOM_LNC017561)". Lineage: Eukaryota; Viridiplantae; Streptophyta; Magnoliopsida; Rosales; Rosaceae. The record is from RNAcentral.
AAUUUAUAGACGACAUAAUGGAUAAAAUUUAAAGUAAAAACAUAAUGGAUAAAUCAUUCUGAAAAUAGAAAAUGAAAUGCUUAGUUGGGAAAAAGCGUGGAGAGGAAUCAUAUCUGCCCACAACUCAUAACUACUCAUUUGUUUCAUAUAUAUACAAUGGCUCCUUAUAAAGAUAUCGAUGGUGAAAGCCGAAACACCGCUGGAUAUAGGUGGUCUUCUAAAGAAUUACUUCACACAUUAAGACAGAUAGGGAGCGAAAAUGAAUAAGAACACCGUGUGCACAACCACGUUUGAGUUCAGAAACAAGCUGCUCGUUGAACCCUUUUCCUAUUCCUUUGGUCUAGACGCUGAAGUCGCUUCAGAAUGGUUUUCCCCAACAAUCGGUUGCGCUUUUGUUUCCUCUUUCUUCUUUGCUUCGACCUCUUUGAG